CUAAUGUCUCACCUGCAGUCCCUGCGUCCCAGAGCAAUCCUUUUAACACCUGAAAAAGAUGUUUUCUUUUGUUUUAAAUAUUGUCACAUUGUACAUUCCUGUUUAGUUUGUGAUCUUUUUCUACCGUACUACAGCCUCAUUACCUAUUCUUCUAGGAAGCAAGGGAAAGUUACACACACCACUCCUGGAUUCAAACAGACUCGAGCUAUCCAGAGAAGACUGAAAGAAUAUAUGCCAGGAGGCCCAAAGACUCUUGUUGCAGGCGAGGAGUGGCAUAGAAGAGGUGUCAUGCUGGGCCACAGAAGAUGUGAUUUCAUGCUGUUCAAGAACCCGCUGCAGCCUUCAGGUGUCUUCGGCACUUCUGAAUCAAAAGUUCAAGCCAAAGGUACCAGGAUCACUUGCAUGGAACCCCGUAUAGGACUGUUUCCAAGUCACCUGAAAUAA
This 444-nucleotide long non-coding RNA is filed under the name Struthio camelus australis. Its description in RNAcentral is "lncRNA (ENSSCUG00000006566.1)". Lineage: Eukaryota; Metazoa; Chordata; Aves; Struthioniformes; Struthionidae. The record is from RNAcentral.